UUAAAUAAAAUAAUUGGGCCUAGAUUAGUCACCAAAAAAAAUUGGGCCUAGAUUUCACGGACGUUAUGCUUCCGCUUUACAUGACCAUUAGCACCGCCACUUUUUGUUUGGUCGGUGCAUUGAUUUUUUCUGGACCUGAUGCCCUGACCUUUUUCGGCCAUGGACCUGAUACCCGCCUAUUGGGCUUCCAUACCAUCAUCUUCCUUCUUUAUGGUCUUAACGACCAAAACUUUCAUCAUUGGCUCGCUCUUCAGAUUUUUUUCUCUCUUUUCAUUUUUGGAGUAAAAAACUUUUCACAUCUAAAUUCUGAAUUUCUAAUAUCCCGAAAAUGUACGGCCACCGACACCGUUACCACCGCGGCGGCAAAACGCUUGUGGCGCUCCAGGCUGAUUCCCGGUACACUUUGGGCAUCAAAAUGCAGCAGGUUUGAACGGUUAUUUUGUUGUCGAAGAUAAUGAAUGAUUCAAGCUCAGACUGUCAAUUGAAUCAAAGCGAAGUGGAUUAUUGUUUUGAAUCGAAUGAAGGGACUGAGGUGUGGUUCAAUUCUAGUUAAUGUUGUCCGUUAGUAGUUUAUGAUUCUGUAGGUGAAUAAUAAUAUUUUUUUUUUGUAAAAAUUGUUGUUCAUGGUUGAUGGUUUGAAAUGAAUGUAAUGUACCAGUUCUGAAUCUGAUUCUAUUAUUUUGAUGAAUCUAUUUUCUCCUCCCGUUUCGGUGUAUUUCGAUUAUAAAUUGAUGUAUUUUGGAAA
Non-coding RNA from Arachis ipaensis, 745 nucleotides. The record is from RefSeq and is a predicted model, not a curated record. NCBI's taxonomy places the organism in Eukaryota, Viridiplantae, Streptophyta, Magnoliopsida, Fabales, Fabaceae.